RNAcentral lists this ribosomal RNA (164 nucleotides) under uncultured bacterium. RNAcentral's name for it is "partial 16S ribosomal RNA". It matches the Rfam family "Bacterial small subunit ribosomal RNA", at positions 369 to 553 of the family's 1533-position model. The record is from RNAcentral.
AUCCUGUCGCAGCCUGAUGCAGCCAUGCCGCGUGUGUGAUGAAGGCCUUAGGGUUGUAAAGCACUUUCACCGGAGAAGAUAAUGACGGUAUCCGGAGAAGAAGCCCCGGCUAACUUCGUGCCAGCAGCCGCGGUAAUAAUCCGUGCCAGCAGCCGCGGUAAUAA